CCCUAGCCCUGAUGGGAGCGGCAUCUCCCGAUUUAGAAAAACAAGGCUUUUUAGCCAUAGUUUUUGUUUAUCUGGAAUAUAGCGGACAGCAGGAAUCAGC
Molecule: small RNA, 100 nt
Filed under: Flavobacterium sp. S87F.05.LMB.W.Kidney.N
Lineage: Bacteria; Pseudomonadati; Bacteroidota; Flavobacteriia; Flavobacteriales; Flavobacteriaceae
Description: Flavo-1 RNA
Rfam family: Flavo-1 RNA
Source: RNAcentral